AGCUCAGUUGUAAUUACCAGCAUUACAACCACCACCAUUACCAGUGUGGGGGCGGGCUGACUAUACCCUGAAGAAUUGCAAACAAGAAGCCCGCUCCCAUCCAGGAGCGGGCUUUUUGUUU
This is a non-coding RNA of Shewanella algae, 121 nucleotides long. NCBI's taxonomy places the organism in Bacteria, Pseudomonadati, Pseudomonadota, Gammaproteobacteria, Alteromonadales, Shewanellaceae. The record is from Rfam.